ACCGAAAUAGCUCAGUUGGGAGAGCGUUAGACUGAAGAUCUAAGGGUCCCUGAUUCGAUCCCGGGUUUCGGCA
Molecule: transfer RNA, 73 nt
Filed under: Cordylochernes scorpioides
Lineage: Eukaryota; Metazoa; Arthropoda; Arachnida; Pseudoscorpiones; Chernetidae
Description: tRNA-Phe
Rfam family: tRNA
About the family: Transfer RNA (tRNA) molecules are approximately 80 nucleotides in length. Their secondary structure includes four short double-helical elements and three loops (D, anti-codon, and T loops). Further hydrogen bonds mediate the characteristic L-shaped molecular structure. tRNAs have two regions of fundamental functional importance: the anti-codon, which is responsible for specific mRNA codon recognition, and the 3' end, to which the tRNAs corresponding amino acid is attached (by aminoacyl-tRNA synthetases). tRNAs cope with the degeneracy of the genetic code in two manners: having more than one tRNA (with a specific anti-codon) for a particular amino acid; and 'wobble' base-pairing, i.e. permitting non-standard base-pairing at the 3rd anti-codon position.
Source: RNAcentral